This 98-nucleotide transfer RNA is filed under the name Synergistaceae bacterium. Its description in RNAcentral is "tRNA-Sec". It matches the Rfam family "Selenocysteine transfer RNA". The record is from RNAcentral. Lineage: Bacteria; Thermotogati; Synergistota; Synergistia; Synergistales; Synergistaceae. RNAcentral also lists the same sequence under 1 other name.
GGAGGCGGAUGCCGGCUGGUGUCGACCCCGGACUUCAAAUCCGGUGCGGGGUGGCCAGGGCUGCUCUGGGUGGGUUCGAUUCCCACACGCCUCCGCCA